This 301-nucleotide ribosomal RNA is filed under the name uncultured bacterium. Its description in RNAcentral is "partial 16S ribosomal RNA". It matches the Rfam family "Bacterial small subunit ribosomal RNA", at positions 509 to 807 of the family's 1533-position model. The record is from RNAcentral.
CAGUCGCCACGGUAAUACAGAGGGUGCGAGCGUUAAUCGGAUUUACUGGGCGUAAAGCGUGCGUAGGCGGCUUCUUAAGUCGGAUGUGAAAUCCCUGAGCUUAACUUAGGAAUUGCAUUCGAUACUGGGAAGCUAGAGUAUGGGAGAGGAUGGUAGAAUUCCAGGUGUAGCGGUGAAAUGCGUAGAGAUCUGGAGGAAUACCGAUGGCGAAGGCAGCCAUAUGGCCUAAUACUGACGCUGAGGUACGAAAGCAUGGGGAGCAAACAGGAUUAGAUACCCCAGUAGUCCCUGUCUCUUAUAC